RNAcentral lists this ribosomal RNA (460 nucleotides) under uncultured bacterium. RNAcentral describes it as "partial 16S ribosomal RNA". It matches the Rfam family "Bacterial small subunit ribosomal RNA", at positions 338 to 795 of the family's 1533-position model. The record is from RNAcentral.
CCUACGGGAGGCAGCAGUGAGGAAUAUUGGUCAAUGGACGCAAGUCUGAACCAGCCAUGCCGCGUGCAGGAAGACGGCUCUAUGAGUUGUAAACUGCUUUUGUACAAGGGUACACGUGGAUACGCGUAUCUGUCUGAAAGUACCGUACGUAUAAGGAUCGGCUAACUCCGUGCCAGCAGCCGCGGUACUACGGAGGAUGCAAGGGUUAUCCGGAUUUAUUGGGUUGAAAGGGUGCGUAGGCGGUGGGUUAAGUUAGAGGUGAAAUCCCGGGGCUCAACUUCGGAAGUGCCGCUGAUACUGUUGGGCUAGAGAGUAGUUGCGGUAGGCGGAAUGUAUGGUGUAGCGGUGAAAUGCGUAGAGAUCAGACAGAACACCGAUUGUGAAGGCAGCUUACCAAGCUACUUCUGACGUUGAGGCACGAAAGCGUGGGGAGCAAACAGGAUUAGAUACCCUUGUAGUC